RNAcentral lists this ribosomal RNA (490 nucleotides) under uncultured bacterium. RNAcentral describes it as "partial 16S ribosomal RNA". It matches the Rfam family "Bacterial small subunit ribosomal RNA", at positions 30 to 507 of the family's 1533-position model. The record is from RNAcentral.
AUUGAACGCUGGCGGCAGGCCUAGCACAUGCAAGUCGAACGGUAACAGGAAACAGCUUGCUGUUUCGCUGACGAGUGGCGGACGGGUGAGUAAUGUCUGGGAAACUGCCUGAUGGAGGGGGAUAACUACUGGAAACGGUAGCUAAUACCGCAUAACGUCGCAAGACCAAAGAGGGGGACCUUCGGGCCUCUUGCCAUCGGAUGUGCCCAGAUGGGAUUAGCUAGUAGGUGGGGUAACGGCUCACCUAGGCGACGAUCCCUAGCUGGUCUGAGAGGAUGACCAGCCACACUGGAACUGAGACACGGUCCAGACUCCUACGGGAGGCAGCAGUGGGGAAUAUUGCACAAUGGGCGCAAGCCUGAUGCAGUAAUGCCGCGUGUAUGAAGAAGGCCUUCGGGUUGUAAAGUACUUUCAGCGGGGAGGAAGGGAGUAAAGUUAAUACCUUUACUCAUUGACGUUACCCGCAGAAGAAGCACCGGCUAACUCCGUG